UACGUAGGCAGCAAGCGUUGUUCGGAAUUACUGGGCGUAAAGAGUGUGUAGGCGGUGUUCUAAGUCUGUUGUGAAAUCUCCCGGCUUAACUGGGAGGGUGCGGCGGAAACUGGAAUGCUAGAGGAUGGGAGAGGCAAGCGGAAUUCCUGGUGUAGCGGUGAAAUGCGUAGAUAUCAGGAGGAACACCUGUGGUGUAGACAGCUUACUGGACCAUUUCUGACGCUGAGACACGAAAGCGUGGGUAGCAAACAGG
This 253-nucleotide ribosomal RNA is filed under the name uncultured bacterium. Its description in RNAcentral is "partial 16S ribosomal RNA". It matches the Rfam family "Bacterial small subunit ribosomal RNA", at positions 524 to 776 of the family's 1533-position model. The record is from RNAcentral.